This is a long non-coding RNA of Uranotaenia lowii, 1432 nucleotides long. RefSeq lists it as uncharacterized. The record is from RefSeq and is a predicted model, not a curated record. The transcript is spliced from 6 exons. Lineage: Eukaryota; Metazoa; Arthropoda; Insecta; Diptera; Culicidae.
UUGUUGAUGCAUGUGGGGUCAGAAAUGUUCUAGAACGAAUUUUAAUGUGGAUUUUUCGGUAUCAGAGGUGGAAACUCAUUAACAAAAUAAUGGUUAUAUUUUUCGCCUUGGGAAAAAUGUGAUUUGUGAUUGUGGUAAACUUUGUGAUUGUUGCGAUCUUUUCAAUUUUUUUGGGGGAGUGCAACCAACUGGGUUGCUGAAAUCUACAUAAGCAAAUGUUCAUAAGGAAAUCAUCAUAAGCAGGAGAAAUGAAAGCUAAGGAUGCCAACAGCAAAUUGCAGAAGCUUUCCGAUGGAGGCAGUACGACCGAAGUAGAAUAAUAAAAUUUUAAGAAAUUUUGCGCGCUACAUGGUGUUGAUGGUCAUUCAUGUAAGCAUGAAUUUGUUGCUCGUUGGCUGAAUGCUGUAAUUUUGAGUCCCGGUUAAAGCUUGACAGACCGAACUUCAUAUCAACAGCGCGGCGUAACGUGAAGAAGCAUGAUACGGCCGUUAGUGGACAACAACCGAAACCCAACGCAAGCGGAUCAAAAAAGUAAAAACCCAAUUUGCACAGCGGCUGGACAAGAGCAAAAAUUCAUUUUUCAAAGGAACAGUCAAAAACAAAACGAGCAAAAACUACAAAAAGUUGCCAAUGUGAAGCAUGUGAACCCAUCUAGGAAGUGGUGACCACUAAAAGAAAGAGGAUCCGCUGAAAAUUAAAAAAAAAAAUGAUAUGGGAGAUAGGAAUUAUCACAGGACAGCAACUAUAAAACGAUUCAUUAUAAUUUCGGGCUUGUGAUAUAGCGCAGUUGGCAAGUCUGUUGUCUCCUGAGCAGAUGUCCGCGAGUUCGAGCCCAAGAGUAAACAUCGAACACAGUUGUACCGGAUAAGUUUUUCAAUAACGAUCCGCCAACUGCACCGUUGAUAAAGUCGCGAAUGCCAUAAAAAUGAUAUUACGUUCACUGUUUCGUGUGAGUUCCCAGAUAGAUCCAAAAAUCCAUUGCUGGAGAACAGGUUACGAUGAAAUUGGAUAAAUAAUGACGAUCCAUCAAUCACCGCUCAAGCGCCAUUUCCAUUUAAGUUUCAUGUUUUGUAAUUUUUAUAUGUUUUUUGCAGUGUAACCAUGUAUCAAAAUGUGUUUAUUAAUAAAGAAUUAGAACGACUAAAUUAUUUUCAAAAUUUUUGUUUGCUGUAUUUUUUUCAUUUUGGAGGAAGCUUAAUUAUUUCAAUUCUGGCACCACUGCAAAAUAUACAGAAAUGUACAGAAUUGAGCAACUGGCUGAAAGCUUGAAAUGUAUAAAAGCUUUUUGCACACGCUAUGCGUAAAGAGCCCAAACUUAAAACUAAGUGGAGACACUUUUCUUGAAACUGUAUGGAUUUUUAUACAGAUUAGAGUAACUUUUGUUACCGUGUGACUCGUAAGGUUUUGUGUCCAGUGCUGCAAAUUUUCAGUG